GAUGAACGCUGGCGGCGUGGAUAAGGCAUGCAAGUCGAGUGGGUUUAGGCCCACGGCAAACGGGUUCGGAAUACAUAGGAAUCUUCCUCAGAGUCGUGAAUAAUUCGGAGAAAUCCGAGCUAAUACACGAUACGCUCUACGGAGUAAAGAUUUAUCGCUUUGAGAUGAGCCUGUGUCCUAUCAGCUUGUUGGUGAGGUAAAAGCCCACCAAGGCUAUGACGGGUAGGGGUGUGAGAGCAUGACCCCAACAUUGGAACUGAGACACUGUCCAAACACCUACGGGUGGCUGCAGUCGAGAAUAUUCCACAAUGGACGAAAGUCUGAUGGAGCGACGCCGCGUGUGGGAUGAAGGCCUUCGGUUGUAAACACUUUUCUAGGUAGCAAUUUCGAUGAGA
This 395-nucleotide ribosomal RNA is filed under the name uncultured bacterium. Its description in RNAcentral is "bacterial SSU rRNA". It matches the Rfam family "Bacterial small subunit ribosomal RNA", at positions 28 to 460 of the family's 1533-position model. The record is from RNAcentral.